RNAcentral lists this long non-coding RNA (773 nucleotides) under Anser cygnoides (Swan goose). RNAcentral's name for it is "lncRNA (ENSACDG00005016156.1)". The record is from RNAcentral. Lineage: Eukaryota; Metazoa; Chordata; Aves; Anseriformes; Anatidae.
AAAUAGCUAAUUACAAAUGAGCUGCUGGGUUGUUCACAGCGUGCCUGAGCAGUUCCUGCGGGGACAGCAGUGCUGUGCUCCAUGCAGGUCUGUGCAGGGGGUGUGAGUGACCGUGUCUGGUGCAACAGAAGGUGCAGUGACACCUGAGAGAAAAAUAAAAAGGGUGUUUUAGGAGCCAGGAGGGAGAGCAGAUGGUGCUGGGAAUGACACAGGUGCCCCGAGUCACAAAGCCGUGUGCUCUGAUGUGGGAUGAAUUGCCACCAGCUGGGGGAAGCUGGAGGUGGGCUUUAGCACUUGUUCCUGAGCACCGGGGGGGUGAGAUGUGUCCCAGUGAGGUGCUGGGGAGGGCUCAGCUCCUUCUGUUGGCUCCUUGGGAUUGCUGGCAUGAGAGUGGGUGCGUGUUUGGCUGUGGGCAGAGACUGUGCUGCAGCGUACAAAAGCAGCUGUGUGGUCCGACCCAGUGCUGGGGGAAAGCAUCCCGGGGAAGCACCUAUAAACUGGAGAUGACGCACUUGAUCCAGCGUGUUUGCUGCGGUGGCGCGUCACCUAGGAGCAUCGAGUGGAAGGAUGUUGUUCCGUGCUGCAGAGCGGGCGCAGCUCAGCUCAGCAGACCUCAGCUGCCGAUCUGCACGCAGCAUCAAAGCCAUGCAGGGAGCAAGCCAGUCCUGGUGCCUCCAACCAAGUGGGACCUCCCAAUGCAGACUUCUCCCAGGGAGGUAACGCUGCUGAUGUCUGCCCUGCAGACAAGAUGUGAAGAUGGGCUCCUCUGCUAG